CAAUAGCGUAUAUUAAUGUUGUUGCAGUUAAAAAGCUCGUAGUUGGAUUUCUGGUGGGAGCGGCCGGUCCGCCGUAAGGUGUGUACUUGGUUGUCUCCUGUCAUCCUUGUGGGAACUGCUCUGGCAUUAAGUUGUCGGGGUUAGGGAACACAUCGUUUACUGUGAAAAAAUUAGAGUGCUUAAAGCAGGCUUAUGCCGUUGAAUACAUUAGCAUGGAAUAAUAAGAUAGGACUUUGGCGUCUAUUUUGUUGGUUUGCACACCAAGGUAAUGAUUAAUAGGGAUAGUUGGGGGUAUUCGUAUUUAAUUGUCAGAGGUGAAAUUCUUGGAUUUAUGAAAGACGAACUUCUGCGAAAGCAUUUACCAAAGAUGUUUUCAUUAA
This 380-nucleotide ribosomal RNA is filed under the name uncultured eukaryote. RNAcentral describes it as "partial 18S ribosomal RNA". It matches the Rfam family "Eukaryotic small subunit ribosomal RNA", at positions 592 to 976 of the family's 1831-position model. The record is from RNAcentral.